This 606-nucleotide long non-coding RNA is filed under the name Anser brachyrhynchus (Pink-footed goose). RNAcentral describes it as "lncRNA (ENSABRG00000017761.1)". Lineage: Eukaryota; Metazoa; Chordata; Aves; Anseriformes; Anatidae. The record is from RNAcentral.
AUAAAACCAGCCUCAAAUAACAUUAUCUGGAGGUUUUACCAUACUCAGAGCUGGUGAACCAAUUGUCUUCUAAAGCAUAGCAAAAUUCACUUUUAGGCAUUACUGUGAUGAUUCCCUAUUGUUUCCAAAAAGGUAGCAACACUUCUUACUAAUUGACGGCUACUUGGAUGCUUCAGCUCCCACGGCGCUGCACAUGGCAGGCAGCGAAAGCAGGGCCUUAGUAGCUACGCCUGAAACAACGGUGUCACCUCUCCUCUUCCCACCCUGAGGAAUUUCAUCGUAGUCCGAGUGAAUCGCUUGUAACUUCCCAAAGUGCCCAGCAGCUCAGUAACUGCCUCCAGCACCGUGGUACGGGCCAGCAAAGCGGGCUGCAGUGAGCUAGGAAAGUGGCCAUAAAGGGGAGGUGCUCCAUUGCUCCAGGAGCACAACCCCUGGGAUGAGCAGCAAGAGCAUCCCUCACGGGCUUCCCCACUGCCACGUCCUGCAACCUUAGGGCACAGUCCACUACCUGCUUUAAAGUCUGGACUUGGAAGUGAUACACUUCUGUAAAACUGAAUGGAUUCAGAAGAUUAUAAAUGGAUGGAUAAGACAGCACACCCAAUGGUC